This 1421-nucleotide long non-coding RNA is filed under the name Nicotiana benthamiana. Its description in RNAcentral is "long non-coding RNA (NBEN_LNC026023)". The record is from RNAcentral. Lineage: Eukaryota; Viridiplantae; Streptophyta; Magnoliopsida; Solanales; Solanaceae.
UACAUAACAGACUGAUUUUAUCCACAAAAAAGAGGUGGAGGGGUUUGUAAAUGACAAACAUAAUAGUAUGGAUUUUAGGUGCCAAGAAAUGGACAUUUUGUCUUCUAAAUCAGGAAGCACCACUAUUUGUACAAAGGCCAUAUCAUCGCACAACGGUUUCAUAAGUUUCACUAUUUCUCUUUGAUUUAUUCAUAGCAUGGCUAGAUAGAUGAGAUCUUGAACUUGCAUAACUUAUAGUCUAUUGGUAAUGAGCAUAAGCUAGAAAUUAAACAAAUAUCUAGAAGUUAAAGCACUAUUAGUAUGCAUUUACUAUUAAUUGGAAUAGUCUAUUGGUAAUGAGCAUAAGCUAGAAUUUAAACAAAUAUCUAGAAGAUAAAGCACUAUUGAUAUGCAUUUACUAUUAAUUGGAAUUUACUCUUUAAAAAGGAAAAAAAGGUGAUGACGAUUAUGUGUGCAUUACUUUCACCUAAAGCUAUGUUGUGUGACUCCUAAAAAGCCUCGCCGUGUCGACACUACAUGGGUGUGAGUGUAGAAUAUACACUAGAUUUGGACAACUUACUAUGGGUGCUUUAACUAUAUCUAUGACCGAGAAGUAUUGAUUGAUCGGGUAUCUGGUUUGAUUUUGUGGGUUUAUGUCAUAUAUAUUAUGAAGAAUUUAUUACGUGUUUAUAAAGAAUUAAACUUUACUAUUAAUCUUUGUUCACUAACUUUAAUUAAUAGAAACAUAUACUUAUAAAUGUCUGUAACGUGCAUAUAUUAGCCGUAUCUAAGUACCCGUAUUUGCACUCGGAUCCAUAACCCCAAAUUCUAAAACUCAUGUGAUGAAGAAGCAGACCGCUAGAUCUGCACUCAUAUAUCCACACCUGAGUUUGAGCAAUUAGGAUCAAAAUAGAACUAAAGCAGAGCAAUAUUGUUCCAUGCUGAUUUCAGUACACGGAUGAUUUAUUCGUCCAAGUAUGUAUGCUGAUUCACUGCAACACCCGCAACUCUGCAUUAUUACACCAGUUUGACCAUGCUGUAGAGAGAAUAGUUGGAAGCAGUGUCAGCUCUAGCUUUAGUUCAUCUACUUUUUUCUCCUACAGUAUCUGCACUUUCUUCAAUUAAGAAAAAAUGUGCAAUGGCUGUGAGAUAAACUGCGGCUACGGGUAAAAGUAGAACUAGAGACAUCGUGGCCAUGUUGACUGUUGUGUUUAAGUUUUGAAUUCAUUAACUGCAGAAAACCUUAAAGUUGCUAAGAGGAAAUUAGUGAAACAUAGACAUUUGUGGGAUACACUGGGUUUAUUGUUGUUUGUUGUUGUUUUUAUACAUGUUUGUGGCUUGGGUUUAUACAAGAAGAAUUUGCAUCUUAAACUUGAUUCUUUGUGAUGUGAAUUGCUAUUGUCAUGUUGCCUAUUUAAGUACUAUAUGUGAUUUCAACUAAU